This 327-nucleotide long non-coding RNA is filed under the name Mus spicilegus (steppe mouse). Its description in RNAcentral is "lncRNA (ENSMSIG00000015024.1)". The record is from RNAcentral. Lineage: Eukaryota; Metazoa; Chordata; Mammalia; Rodentia; Muridae.
ACUGUGGGGAAGGGCAAACACAUUGAAUUUCAACCUCAUGUGUUUCCUUUAUAGGUAUGUGAAUAUUGCCUCUGAGAUCCUGUUAUAUUUCCCAGUAUGUCGCCAUUCAGGAGAAAUUCGGUGAACCAGCGGCAGAUUUCAAUUGCUGGGAGUAGGGUUUCAAGAACCUGCAUGGAGAAGGAUGAAGUUUCCUCUUCAGAGGUCCAUAUCACAGCAAUUCCAGAUCUCCAAAGUCUCUGAGCUCUAAAAUUGUAUGACUUGCUUACAAAUGAAGAUAAGAAAAAUCAUCCCCAGCUGUUGUAAGAAGUACAUCCAGUAACAAGGAAG